This 94-nucleotide transfer RNA is filed under the name Meloidogyne enterolobii. RNAcentral's name for it is "tRNA-Tyr". The stretch from base 13 to 92 matches the Rfam family "tRNA". Rfam says of the family: Transfer RNA (tRNA) molecules are approximately 80 nucleotides in length. Their secondary structure includes four short double-helical elements and three loops (D, anti-codon, and T loops). The record is from RNAcentral. Lineage: Eukaryota; Metazoa; Nematoda; Chromadorea; Rhabditida; Meloidogynidae.
GCAUUAGUCGAUGCCCCGGUAGCUCAGAGGUAGAGCUCCUGCAUAUAGCGAGCGAAAGCGGGAGGUCGCAGGUUCGAAUCCUGCCCGGUGGCUA